CAGCAGCCGCGGUAAUACGAAGGGGGCGAGCGUUGCUCGGAAUGACUGGGCGUAAAGGGCGCGUAGGUGGCGUGCACAGUCAGAUGUGAAAUUCCUGGGCUCAACCUGGGGGCUGCAUUUGAUACGUGCGUGCUAGAGUGUGGAAGAGGGUCGUGGAAUUCCCAGUGUAGAGGUGAAAUUCGUAGGUAUUGGGAAGAACACCGGUGGCGAAGGCGGCGACCUGGUCCAUUACUGACGCUGAGGCGCGAAAGCGUGGGGAGCAAACAGGAUUAGAUACCCCCGUAGUCCCUGUCUCUUUACA
RNAcentral lists this ribosomal RNA (301 nucleotides) under uncultured bacterium. Its description in RNAcentral is "partial 16S ribosomal RNA". It matches the Rfam family "Bacterial small subunit ribosomal RNA", at positions 509 to 808 of the family's 1533-position model. The record is from RNAcentral.